Long non-coding RNA from Galeopterus variegatus (Sunda flying lemur), 638 nucleotides. RefSeq lists it as uncharacterized. NCBI's taxonomy places the organism in Eukaryota, Metazoa, Chordata, Mammalia, Dermoptera, Cynocephalidae. The transcript has 3 exons. The record is from RefSeq and is a predicted model, not a curated record.
GGAACUAUUGAUACAGGCAGCGGCUUGGAAGUUCUCCAGAGAAUCACGCUGAGUGAAACAGAAAAGGCCAGUCCCAGAAGUUCACAUACUAUACAGGAAAUGAGGCCGAGACCUAGCAGCCAAUCCACGUGCUUGUGAGGCAGCUGGUGCCCAGCGCUCCGGGGAAACUUCCAGAAUGGGAGCUCCUGCCAGCAAGAGCCCUUGGCAGCUCUCAGCGCAGUCCCUGGAGCAGCGGACUUGAGGGAGAAACCACGUGCCUCAGACGAACACACAGUAACGCUCGAAAAGGAACAACGUGGAACGCCCGGCUCCUCUCAUCGACCUCAGCACCUCUCCGGGCCACGCCACACUCCCACUAACCUUUCCAGAGAGUUCCGGAUUCUCGAUCUUCUCCCAACGCUUUUCAGGGGCCUUGGCUGAUCCCCCAGGAAACUGUGGAGCAGGAGUGUCCUUCAGAGUCCUCCGGAACGGAAGCAAGGAGACGUCCUCUGUAUCCCUGAAUCAACCAACUGGAUCCAGGAUGCUGAUCGCUGCCCACCCCCCUCCACAAAGAGUGGCAAUCUGGUGCACACAACCCAUCACUCAAAUACUUCUCUUGAAAUUCCUCAAAGAUCUCCUGAUUUCCAAAUCUAAACCUA